Molecule: long non-coding RNA, 401 nt
Organism: Carassius auratus (goldfish)
Lineage: Eukaryota; Metazoa; Chordata; Actinopteri; Cypriniformes; Cyprinidae
Exons: 3
Source: RefSeq, a predicted model, not a curated record
UAGAUCCCUGUUACACAGCUCUGGGACACAAACUCAAUCUGAUGAUGGUGCAGGACGCUAGUAAAUAUGAUCUGACGAUAAUAAAGAGAAUAAACUACAACACAGCAGAUGAUCUAGUUUGUAGAGUAAAGAAUGGCAGGAUGAGGAAGACUGAAUGUGAUCUUUAUAAUAACAGACCUGAAGUGACAGUCACUAAUGGGACUCUGAUAAUAAACCGUGUGAUCAGAACAGAUUCAGGGAAUUACAGAUUAACACUCUCUCACUCAGACGGCACAGAAACAUCUCGAGAUCUUCAAGUGAUUGUUGAAGCUGAUGGUUCUGUUCGGUCUGUUAGGAGCUUUUCACAUCUACAUGAGACACACAUCAGGAAAGAAACAGGAAGAUCAGAAAGUGAGGAUGAG